GAGCUUCGGCGGGUUUUGCGGAUGCUGGUUUA
This 32-nucleotide non-coding RNA is filed under the name Geobacter sulfurreducens PCA. Lineage: Bacteria; Pseudomonadati; Thermodesulfobacteriota; Desulfuromonadia; Geobacterales; Geobacteraceae. The record is from RNAcentral.